GAUGGGGGAAAAGAAGUUGACAGAAGAGAGUGAGCACACAAAGGGGAAGUUGUAUAAAAGUUUUGUAUAUGGUUGCUUUUGCGUGCUCACUCUCUUUUUGUCAUAACUUCUCCUUCAU
Arabidopsis thaliana (thale cress) is the source of this 118-nucleotide non-coding RNA. RefSeq annotates it as microRNA ath-MIR156d precursor. The transcript has a single exon. Lineage: Eukaryota; Viridiplantae; Streptophyta; Magnoliopsida; Brassicales; Brassicaceae. The record is from RefSeq.